This 64-nucleotide transfer RNA is filed under the name Pediculus humanus corporis (human body louse). RNAcentral's name for it is "tRNA tRNA-Ile". The record is from RNAcentral. Lineage: Eukaryota; Metazoa; Arthropoda; Insecta; Psocodea; Pediculidae.
GGCGAGGUGCCUGAUUAAAGGGUUGUUAUGAUGUAACAAAUUAAGACUUAGAAGUUUCUCGCUU